CAGACCUGAAAUCAGGCGAGGUUACCCGCUGAACUUAAGCAUAUUAUUAAGCGGAGGAGAAGAAAAUAACUAUGAUUCCCUUAGUAACGGCGAGUGAACCGGGAUCAGCUCAAAGUGGAAAUCAACUGCUCUUUCCGAGCUGUUGACUUGUAGCCUCGAGAGGCGUUACCAGUGGAAGCGCAGGGUUAAGUUUCUUGGGAAAGAACAUCAUAAAGGGUGAGAAUCCCGUCCUUCCCCUGCGUUUUUUGUUCCACGUACGGUACGCUUUUAUAGAGUCGCGUUCAUCGGGAUUUGAGCGCAAAAUGUGUGGUAGGUUUCACAUAAAGCUAAGUACUGGCGCGAGACCGAUAGCAAACAA
This 358-nucleotide ribosomal RNA is filed under the name Toxoplasma gondii ME49. RNAcentral's name for it is "Toxoplasma gondii rRNA TGME49_457780". It matches the Rfam family "Eukaryotic large subunit ribosomal RNA", at positions 1 to 347 of the family's 3401-position model. The record is from RNAcentral. Lineage: Eukaryota; Apicomplexa; Conoidasida; Eucoccidiorida; Sarcocystidae.